CUACGAAAGGUGCAAGCGUUGUUCGGAUUUACUGGGCGUAAAGAGAUCGUAGGUGGUUUGUUAAGUCGGAUGUGAAAUCCCGGGGCUCAACCCCGGAACUGCAUUCGAUACUGGCAGACUAGAGUUUGGGAGGGGUAAGCGGAAUUCCGUGUGUAGCAGUGAAAUGCGUAGAUAUACGGAGGAACACCUGAGGCGAAGGCGGCUUACUGGACCAAUACUGACACUGAGGAUCGAAAGCGUGGGUAGCAAACAGGAUUAGAAACCCUAGUAGUCC
RNAcentral lists this ribosomal RNA (274 nucleotides) under uncultured bacterium. RNAcentral describes it as "partial 16S ribosomal RNA". It matches the Rfam family "Bacterial small subunit ribosomal RNA", at positions 523 to 796 of the family's 1533-position model. The record is from RNAcentral.